This is an RNA transcript of Alligator mississippiensis (American alligator), 4683 nucleotides long. It is a transcript of the gene named ribosomal modification protein rimK like family member B, with no coding region annotated. The record is from RefSeq and is a predicted model, not a curated record. The transcript is spliced from 10 exons. NCBI's taxonomy places the organism in Eukaryota, Metazoa, Chordata, Crocodylia, Alligatoridae.
CGGCGGCGCGGGCGGGAGGCGGCGGCGGCUGCUCGCGGCACAGCGCGGCGGGGCGGGAGCGGCGCAGCCCGGGGACACGGUUGCCGCCCCGGCUUGCGGGCAGGAGGGAGGGGCCGGCGCCCCGCGGGACCCGCGAGCCCUGCCCCGGCCUGGGCGGUGCGGCACGGGCGGGCGCGGGCGCGGGCGCGGGCGGGAGGCAGCGCUGGGCGGGGGCAGGGGCCGGGGCCAGGGCCACGCCGUCGGUUCGCGCCUCGUGGCGUUGCUUUCGCCGGGGGGCGCGCGCUGCCCCGCCCGCCGCGCCUGGCCCAGCCCGGCCCGGCCCGGGGGCCGCUCCGCCGCCCGCGCCAGCCAGACAUCUUCCCUCUUUUGGGGUGCAGAGCAGAGAGACACUGAAAGGACUUCAUUUCCAGAUUCUUCUCAGGAGGUACUAGAAAGACAGCAUUUCAACUGAGAGAAUCCGGAUCAAAACAGCAUUUGCUGAGGACACUGAAAGAAGCACCCAUCUUUGGCAUUCCUUCAUCUCCCAUUCCAUGCUCCUCAGAUCUCUGAAGCUUCGUUGAAAAGAAACCCCAGAGGUUGCAAGACCUAGUCCAAGAUGUGCAGCUCAGUUGCUCCCAGGCUGUGGUUUUUAACAGACCGUCGCAUCAGAGAAGACUACCCUCAGCAGGAGAUCCUGAGGGCACUCAAGGCUAAGUGCUGUGAAGAGGAAUUAGAUUUUCGGGCCUUGGUGAUGGAUGAAGUAGUACUGACCAUUGAAGAUGGAAACCUCGGUCUCCGGGUAAAUGGGGAGCUUGUUACUGCUUACCCACAGGUAGUGGUGGUACGUGUGCCAACACCCUGGGUCCAGAGCGACAGUGACAUCACAGUUCUCCGUCACCUGGAGAAGAUGGGUUGUCGGUUGAUGAAUCGGCCCCAAGCCAUCCUCAACUGUGUCAACAAAUUCUGGACCUUCCAGGAGCUGGCUGGUCAUGGUGUGCCUCUCCCAGACACUUUCUCGUAUGGUGGUCAUGAGAAUUUUGCCAAAAUGAUUGAUGAGGCAGAGGUUCUGGAGUUCCCCAUGGUGGUGAAAAACACGCGGGGUCACCGAGGAAAAGCUGUAUUCCUGGCACGAGAUAAGCACCAUUUAGCAGACCUGAGCCAUUUGAUCCGUCAUGAUGCCCCCUACCUGUUCCAGAAAUAUGUCAAGGAGUCCCAUGGCAAGGAUGUUCGUGUCAUUGUAGUAGGAGGUCGCGUGGUGGGCACCAUGCUCCGCUGCUCAACAGAUGGAAGGAUGCAGAGUAACUGCUCACUUGGCGGUGUAGGGAUGAUGUGCUCACUGAGUGAACAAGGCAAGCAGUUGGCAGUCCAGGUGUCAAACAUCCUGGGGAUGGACGUAUGUGGCAUCGACCUACUGAUGAAAGAUGACGGCUCAUUCUACGUCUGCGAGGCCAAUGCAAAUGAUUUCCUCCUGUCUGUUGCAAGACCAUCCCUUCACCACCACCCUUGGCCAUCAGUUGGAACAGGAGAGCUGAGUGAGCACUGCAGUGGACCUGGGGCAGGAGCUGUUGUGGAAACCUGCAUAAUUCCUUCUGAUUGUGAUAGAGGGUCUUUUGGCCAUGUUUUACCCUGGUAAGAUGACAGGUUCUUCCCCUAUGAGAGUGAGUGGAACAGGAGACCUGAGAGGUGUGAGGAGGGCAGAUCUGUCUGGACUGAACACUCACUUCCCAGCUCGAGAACACAUCUGCUUUACAGAGCAUCUCCAGGAAUCUUUUCUCCUUGGCAGCGCUUGAGAAGGGAGGGUAUAAAAAUGUGGGCCUUGGUUUUACAAAGCCAUUUCAGAUGAAACUUUGGUUGUGUAGCAAAGGCUUCUGAGAUGCAACAGAAGCAGAACUUUUAUGUAUUCAGUUCAGCCCUCCUGGUAAAGGUAUCCAAGGGAGAACAGGAUGUUUCUUUUCAUGGACCCCAAGUGGGGGAAGGGGAAUGCAUAUAUCAAGAGGAGUGGGCUUCAGCAGGCUAGGGCUCUGGGGAGAGAGCUGGAGUGUGGAUUAGGCUAAGACAAAGAGGAGCAUUUACACUGCUGAGGCAGGGUACUUCUCCAUUUCUCUUGUUCUCUGAUAUCAGGGUAAGCAUGUGAGGGCUGCGUGGGGUCAAGGAGAGGAACUGGGAACAAUUUCUGACACUGCAACAAACCUAAACUCUCCAACAACAUGAUGAAUAAUGCAAGUGUUGCCCAAGUGCAUCAGUGAUAGGUUCUAGGCGGAGCUAGAUUAGCACAUGGAGAGGAGAGGGUUUGUUAAAAAAUAUUAGUGGGUUUCAUCCCUUGCCUCUGUUUGGCAGUGGUGUUUGUUUCUAUCACUGCAUCACUAAAACAAAUAAUUUUGCUCUUUUUUUUUUUUACUAGGGUAUACAGAAGUUUUCCAUGCUUCAGCUCUGUUUCUAAAAGUAAAAUGCUGGGUGGGGUGGGAGUAUUAGCUAGAGGGGUAAAGUUUCAUUCCUUCAUAGUCCAUUCCAUGCCUUUUUUUUACUUCUUUGUAGGAAGCAUGGUUGGGGUUGGGGGAGUGUGGGGGGAGUUACAUUUGUGACGAGCAGCCUUUUUAGUGCCUGUGCAAUAAGGCACUAUUUGCACCCACAGUUUAAUCCUGAUCUGGCAUUUCUUGAUGUGCUUGGGACAGCAGGCCCUGUGGUUAGUUGGAGGAAAGAGCAGGAGAGCAAAUCUGUAAGGAGUAAGAAUUGUCACUUCUGCCUGCCUUAAAUAACUGCAUCCCUUGUGGCUGGCAUUUUAAAGCAUCCUGGUGGGCUUGUGCGCACAUCUUAUUAAAAGAACAGUUGGCUGCAGAAAGCCCUGCAGUGUUCAGGGUUGAAAUCUGUUGGGGGGAAGGGAGAGAUCAGGCUCUAAAAGUAGCUUAGGCCAGGCCUGCCAUCCCAUAAUGAGAACUGGCUUCCCAGGAUUAGGACAAAAAGUGUGUGUGCUAUAAAGGUGACAUAUCCAAGUGUUAUUUUUGAAAAAAAUAAUGUAAAUUGAGCAGGUUGUAUUCUAACCCAUUAGCUGGUUGAGGUAAACUGCUGAAAGGAUAUGAAUGCUUACUAAACUAGUUUUCCCAGUCUAUACUAGGCAUUUAAAAUACGUUGAAAUAUUUUGCCUAAUGUUUUGCUCUAGUCUGUUAGAUGCCCCCAAAGCUAUCAACCUUUAUAUUUAAUUCUGCAAAGGCAAAAUAAUUAGAUCACAUGUCCCAAGUCAAUCAUUUAGUCUGCAUAUGAUAUCAUUCUUACUGUGGUGGCAUGAUGGGAUGAGCAAAUGCUGUUUGCUGUCCUCUACAGAAAUGGUUAUUUAUCAACUUGUAGAGCAUUAAUAACUGUCACUGAGUGGUGUCUUUUUUUCUGAAGAUCAGUGUUCUUAAUUUUAGUUUUACUGUAUCCCUGCAUAUUUUUGUCCAGGUGUAGGAACUGGCCAUUUACACAGUAAUGUUAUGUCUGAGUUGAUAUAAGGCAGGGCUGUCCAACUUCUAAGUGCCCAGGGACCAUGCUAUUCUAUCCACAGGCCAGAGGGCUGUGUGGAUGUUCUCCUACCCUUCUGCAAGGUAUGCCCUUACAGGCACCCUUGCCCCACUGCUCAGUGUAGGGCAUGGGCAGGCACUUAUUUCAGGAGGAGGGCCACUUACUGAGUUUUGGCAAGCCAUUGAGGGCCAUAUGAUAGGCAGCCAGGGGCAGAGAAAUAUUAAUUUUCUAAAUUUUUAGCGGCCCCGUGGGCCAGAUAGAAUGGCCUGGUGGGCUGCAUUUGGCCCGCGGGCGCAUUUUGCCCACCCCUGGUGUAGGGUGUAAUUGUUCUGCCCAGUGCUCACCCUCAGCUCCCUCUGCUGCUUGCUACAUUGCCCCACCUCCUUGGGUGAAGGCAGGAAAAGGCAGCUGGAGGAGGGAGGAGAAACACAGGCACAGUGGCUUCUGCAGGUGCAGAAAUGAGGGAACACCACCUCAGCAGGAGUCUGGGGAGCUCAACUUAAUCCCUUAUGAGCCACAUGUGGCUCAAAGGCUGCCAUUUGGACAGUCCUAGUGAGGGUAACAAGUUACAGGUGGCUGUGCUAGAUAUGGACCUUAGUUUUGUCACUUGGGACAGAAUGGGACCAACUGACAUGUGACACACGUGCCUUUUUAUAGUCUCAUAAAGAGCUGGUUAGCAUUUAGAGAAGAUUCUUCUAAUUAAAUUAUUUUAAUCUAAAAAUGUGAAUUUCUCAAAACCAAAACUUCUCAGGGGAAUGCAUUGAUUUCAAGAAAGAUUUUUUAUUCAAGGGGUGAAAUUUGUGGUGAGAAAGUAGGACAGGGCCCACCUCAGCAUGGCUGGUAGCACAGGGGGUAGAUCUUUACAACACACUUGGUGUUACUUUUGGGCUUUUUAAAGCAGGUUUUCCCCACUAACAUCAAAUGCGUGGAGGGAGCUCAGCAUAUGGGGCUUUAAUUCAUUGAUGUAUGCAGAGCACUCAGGUUUUUGAAGAGAAGGAGCUAUAGAAGUGUGUAUUAUUACAUAGGUAAUAAAACAAGGACUCUCCUAAGCCUGAAAAUGGAAACCUCAAGCUAACAGGAAGAUAAUGGUGGUGAAAGGUGCUGGAUCAGCAGUCACAGAGAUUGAAGCCCUCUGUCCACAAGACAGGUUUCGUGAAGCAGCAAGAGAUCUUCCUGCCAGAAACCUUUCCCUGCUCCCUGAAAGAUAAA